UGGGGAAUAUUGGACAAUGGGGGAAACCCUGAUCCAGCAAUGCCGCGUGAGUGAUGAAGGCCUUAGGGUUGUAAAGCUCUUUCGACGGGGACGAUGAUGACGGUACCCGUAGAAGAAGCCCCGGCUAACUUCGUGCCAGCAGCCGCGGUAAGACGAAGGGGGCUAGCGUUGUUCGGAAUUACUGGGCGUAAAGCGCGCGUAGGCGGUUUUCCAAGUCAGGCGUGAAAGCCCCGGGCUCAACCCGGGAACUGCGCUUGAUACUGUGAGACUUGAGACCGGGAGAGGAUAGUGGAAUUCCCAGUGUAGAGGUGAAAUUCGUAGAUAUUGGGAAGAACACCAGUGGCGAAGGCGGCUAUCUGGACCGGUACUGACGCUGAGGCGCGAAAGCGUGGGGAGCAAACAG
This 403-nucleotide ribosomal RNA is filed under the name uncultured bacterium. RNAcentral's name for it is "bacterial SSU rRNA". It matches the Rfam family "Bacterial small subunit ribosomal RNA", at positions 355 to 775 of the family's 1533-position model. The record is from RNAcentral.